CGAACGCUGGCGGCGUGCUUAACACAUGCACGUCGAACGAGAGCGUAGAGAAAGCUUGCUUUUUCUACAAUCUAGUGGCAAACGGGUGAGUAACGCGUAAACAACCUGCCCUACGGAUGGGGACAACAGCUGGAAACGGCUGCUAAUACCGAAUACGUUCCGAAAGUCGCAUGACUAUCGGAAGAAAGGAUGGCCUCUAUUUAUAAGCUAUCGCCGGAGGAGGGGUUUGCGUCGGAUUAGCUAGUUGUAGGGGUAACGGCCCACCAAGGCGGAGAUCAGUAGCCGGGCUGGAGGGAUGGACGGCCACAUUUGAACUGAGACAAGGGCCAGCCUCCUACGGGAGGCAGCAGUGGGGAAUCUUCCGCAAUGGGUGGAAGCCUUACGGAGCAACGCCGCGUGAGUGUAGACGGCCUUCGGGUUGUAAAGCUCUGUUAUACGGGACGAAUAAUCUUGUGGUUAAUACCCAUGAGAAGUGACGGUACCGUAAGAGAAAGCCACGGCUAACUACGUG
RNAcentral lists this ribosomal RNA (511 nucleotides) under uncultured bacterium. RNAcentral's name for it is "partial 16S ribosomal RNA". It matches the Rfam family "Bacterial small subunit ribosomal RNA", at positions 30 to 507 of the family's 1533-position model. The record is from RNAcentral.